This 387-nucleotide ribosomal RNA is filed under the name uncultured bacterium. RNAcentral's name for it is "bacterial SSU rRNA". It matches the Rfam family "Bacterial small subunit ribosomal RNA", at positions 29 to 417 of the family's 1533-position model. The record is from RNAcentral.
AUUGAACGCUGGCGGCAUGCCUAACACAUGCAAGUCGAACGGUAACAGGCCCUUCGGGGCGCUGACGAGUGGCGGACGGGUGAGUAAUACUUAGGAAUCUACCCUGUAGUGGGGGACAACCCGAGGAAACUCGGGCUAAUACCGCAUACGCUCUACGGAGGAAAGCGGGGGACCGCAAGGCCUCGCGCUAUUGGAUGAGCCUAAGCCCGAUUAGCUAGUUGGUGGGGUAAUGGCCACCAAGGCAAUGAUCGGUAGCUGGUCUGAGAGGACGACCAGCCACACUGGGACUGAGACACGGCCCAGACUCCUACGGGAGGGCAGCAGUGGGGAAUAUUGGACAAUGGGCGAAAGCCUGAUCCAGCGAUGCCGCGUGUGUGAAGAAGGCCU